GCUGAGAUGGUGUAGUUGGUUAUCACGUCUGUCUAACAGUACGACGCCGUCAAAGGUGUUUAAGCUGCGCACAGAAGGUCCCGAGUUCAAGUCUCGGUCUUAGUA
Teratosphaeriaceae sp. CCFEE 6253 is the source of this 105-nucleotide non-coding RNA. Lineage: Eukaryota; Fungi; Ascomycota; Dothideomycetes; Mycosphaerellales; Teratosphaeriaceae. The record is from the annotation of a GenBank genome assembly.